This 492-nucleotide ribosomal RNA is filed under the name uncultured bacterium. Its description in RNAcentral is "partial 16S ribosomal RNA". It matches the Rfam family "Bacterial small subunit ribosomal RNA", at positions 29 to 507 of the family's 1533-position model. The record is from RNAcentral.
AGUGAACGCUGGCGGUAGGCCUAACACAUGCAAGUCGAACGGCAGCACAGUAAGAGCUUGCUCUUACGGGUGGCGAGUGGCGGACGGGUGAGGAAUACAUCGGAAUCUACUUUUUCGUGGGGGAUAACGUAGGGAAACUUACGCUAAUACCGCAUACGACCUACGGGUGAAAGCAGGGGAUCUUCGGACCUUGCGCGAUUGAAUGAGCCGAUGUGGGAUUAGCUAGUUGGCGGGGUAAAGGCCCACCAAGGCGACGAUCCGUAGCUGGUCUGAGAGGAUGAUCAGCCACACUGGAACUGAGACACGGUCCAGACUCCUGCGGGAGGCAGCAGUGGGGAAUAUUGGACAAUGGGCGCAAGCCUGAUCCAGCCAUACCGCGUGGGUGAAGAAGGCCUUCGGGUUGUAAAGCCCUUUUGUUGGGAAAGAAAAGCAGCAGGUUAAUACCCCGCUGUUCUGACGGUACCCAAAGAAUAAGCACCGGCUAACUUCGUG